Molecule: ribosomal RNA, 465 nt
Filed under: uncultured bacterium
Lineage: Bacteria
Description: partial 16S ribosomal RNA
Rfam family: Bacterial small subunit ribosomal RNA
Source: RNAcentral
CCUACGGGUGGCAGCAGUAGGGAAUUUUCGUCAAUGGGCGCAAGCCUGAACGAGCGAUGCCGCGUGAGUGAAGAAGGCCUUCGGGUCGUAAAGCUCUGUUGCGGGGGAAACAAGGCAGCAUCAGGAAAUGGGUGCUGACUGAUGGUGCCCCGCCAGAAAGUGACGGCUAACUACGUGCCAGCAGCCGCGGUAAUACGGAGGUGGCGAGCGUUAUCCGGAAUGGUUGGGCGUAAAGGGUGCGCAGGCGGUCCUGCAAGUCUGGAGUCAAACGCAUGAGCUCACCACAUGCAGGGCUUUGGAAACUGGAGGACUGGAGAGCAGGAGAGGUAGGUGGAACGCGAGGUGUAGCGGUAAAAUGCGUAGAUAUAUGGAAGAACACCAGUGGCGAAGGCGGCAGCCUGGCCUGUUGCUGACGCUGAGGCACGAAAGCGUGGGGAGCAAAUAGGAUUAGAUACCCCAGUAGUC